Molecule: unclassified non-coding RNA, 334 nt
Filed under: uncultured fungus
Lineage: Eukaryota; Fungi
Description: sequence contains ITS1
Rfam family: 5.8S ribosomal RNA (bases 1-103)
Source: RNAcentral
GAAGUGCGAUAAGCAAUGCGAAUUGCAGAACCGUGAGUCAUCAGAUCUUUGAACGCAAUUGGCGCCGGUUGGUCCUCCAGCCGGCAUGCUUGUUUCAGUGUCUCAUUUUCUCAUCACCAAUAUCAUAAUGCGAGAGAUAACCUUCUCUUGUUAAGUAUGAAAGCACUCUGAGCUCUGCAGGCGGAUCACUUCGGUGGACCGCACUCAAUGCAGCAGUCACAUUUUACAAUGUGAACUUCAUUGAGAGUUGAGUCAGCGCAGUUCUACUGCAAGUGCUUAGAUCCCUAAACUCUAUUUGUAUCUGAAAUCAAGCAGGAUCACCCGCUGAACUUAA